Molecule: long non-coding RNA, 411 nt
Filed under: Heterocephalus glaber (naked mole-rat)
Lineage: Eukaryota; Metazoa; Chordata; Mammalia; Rodentia; Bathyergidae
Description: lncRNA (ENSHGLG00100033182.1)
Source: RNAcentral
GGAAGUGUUCACAUACCCUGGCUCAGCAGGACAACAAAGAAUCUGUCAGGAUUCUUGCAGAAGAGCUGCCUGCAUUCUGUGACUAGGAAAACAUCAGACAAACAGGACAUUCUACAAAGUACCUGACCAAUAUUCUUCAAAAUUGUAGAGGUCAAAAAAGAAAAGGAAAACUGAAGAACUGUCACAGAGGGGACUAACGUGUUACGACAACUCAGUGCACCAUGGAACCCUGCCUAGAUUCUGGAAAAGGACAUUAGUGGAGAAAUUAGGGAACUCUACAUAAAGUCCAAGUUUAGCUAAUAGUGAUAUACCAAUGUUACUAUGGCAGUUAGAUAUCUUAUUGUAAGAGGCCAUCUUAAUGUAAGAUGAAAACUGUGGGAAACUGAAACUGGAAUUCUGUCCUGCCUCUGC